AGUUCCAAAACUAACACUUGGCCCAUUUCUAACACUGAGUGUUAGAAAUGAGCCAAGUGUUAUUUUUUUUUAACUAAUAUCCCCUGGACUGUCCUUGUGUUUUCAAGUGACCCUCCAUUUAAAGAGAUUAUGCUUGCUUGUAUGCCUGGCUGGUUGCUAAUCUAUCUUCUUGUUCUAACCAUUUUAUCAUUCACUUCGUCCUCACCUUCUUAUUUUUACAAAGGAAAACUGAUAAAAUGUCCUCCCUGUCCUAUACUUGGAACUAAUUGCACUCUGCAAGGGGGUUGUGAAUAUUGUAAUGGUACUGGAGAUUGCUCUAAUGAAGGAACAUGUCUUCUUCAAUUU
Molecule: long non-coding RNA, 345 nt
Organism: Eurytemora carolleeae
Lineage: Eukaryota; Metazoa; Arthropoda; Copepoda; Calanoida; Temoridae
Exons: 4
Source: RefSeq, a predicted model, not a curated record